AUUUAUAUAUUAUAUCAUAAUUUUUAUUAGAAAUCAUGUGUAGAUUUGGAAACAGACUUCAUUAACAGCCUUCUUGCACCAUUGAUUUAAUCAUUAUUAUUAUUAUUAUUAUUAUUAUUAUUAUUAUUACUCCAUUCAGCCACAUACAUACAGACACCCAUACCUCCCAUGUUUCCUUCAGCAGCCGCCAUUACCCCCUUACCCUCCUAACUCCUUCACAUCGGUAACACACACAAACCCACACAUACUGAGACAGAGAGAAAAGAAAGAAAAGAGAGAAAAGAGGGCUGAACGGAGAAGAAGGAAGGGAGGGGGACGACCACCGCCGACGCGUCUUGCCAUAGCCACCGCCACCGAGCUGCCGGACCGAGCUAAGAAGGAGAAGAGGCCGCUGUUGUCAUCGAGCUUGCUGUCGUCCAUAGCCGCCGCCGUUGUGCUCCAGCUCGUUGCCACCAUCGCAGACCGCCGCUGCCACCGCGCCACUCAUCGCCGUCGCAAGGAAGACCAGGACCGAGGGAGAGAGCCGCGCGAGGAGUCGCCGUCGCCGCCGUUCGCGAGAGAGAGAGAGAGAGACGCGCUGCACGGGAGUUGCCGUCGUGGGGUGUGUUGCCGUUGAGAAGCUGUCGCCGCCAGAUCCGCCGUUGUCAGAGCUUCUGUCCGAGUCCUGCCGCCGGAGAACACCUCUGCCGCCACUAAGAUCUGCCGCCGUCGCCGUUGCCGGAGUUCUGGUCGUCGCCGCCGUUCGAGGUAGCUGCCGGAGCUGCCGCCAAACCGGUUCAGCGACCAUCGUUGUUUCAUUUUCUUAGUUCGGGUCGUGUUUUGAGCGUUGCAUGUCGCUCUUAAGUUGCUGUGAGUGCUGCGAAAGUGAUCAGGGACUGAGUUUGUGGUUGCUGUUGGUUUCGGGUUAGAGAAAUGGUUUUGUUGACGCAUUUUGAGUUAUGGUUUCGACGAGUCAAGGUAGGGGUUUUUCUUAAAAUCUAAUUUAUAUUACAGAGUUGUGGUAAAUAGAUAUUAAUGUGAGAGAACAUAUGCCUGUGAUUAUAAUUGUCUUCUAAAUGUGGUUGUUUGCUGGACUGAAUGACUGAUUGCUUGAUUACUUGAGUAGUUUGUGAUUGCUGAAAAGAGAUUAGCUUGAAAGGUUAUUUAGUUGAUUAUUAUGAAAAAUGGCUUUUCUUGGUUUUGAAGCUAUUUUUGGUGAUGUAAAGGAAUUGGCUUUGGAAAUGGUUUAAUUUUGAGUUAGUGACUUUAUAAAUGAUUUUAUAAAUGAUUUAGUAUUUGAGCUGGUUUGAUUUUAAAAAGAGAUUUAUUAUGGGCACUGAUUCGCUUUGAAAAUAAUUUGAUAUUGGAACUAGCUGAAUCUUGGAAAAUGAUUGAGAUUUGAGAAAAGGUUUGAGAAAUGUUUGGAUGGGACCCGAAAAGGGUGGCAGUGUCCGAGUUUUAGAGGAGAUGCUGUCGAAAUUUUAUAAAAUUGGAAGUUUUAUUUAAAGUAACUAAUUAAAAAGAUUUGUUUUUAAGCAUUAUACGUUUUAAGAUUGAUUUGCCUAUCAAAGAAAGAAUUUUGUUUUGGAAUUGAGAUUGUUAACGAACAGAAUGAAAAAGAGGAUGGUGAGGAUUUUAUUUGAAAUAUGGCUUUGAAAUGAACUUGGAAAUGAGAUUUGGAUUGAUGAAUGAUUAUGAUGUUGAGAAUGUUGAGAUGUGAACUUUAAAUUAUUCAUAUGGCUUAUGAAUUUGAAAUAUCUGAGAUACGAGGUUCCCUGGAUUAAGUGCCGUGGUUUGCCACCACGUGUACCAGGUUGAAAACUCGAUACUCUGUUGACCCUACGAUGUAAGUGGGUGACCGGGCACUAUAUAAAUUCCCGAGAAUGUUACCCCCAUUGAGUAAUAUUGAUUAUUUGAGAAAAAGCUAUGCAUAGACUCUUGGGGAUGCACGUCGGGGGACAGUCUAAGUACAAUUCAGACUUGUCGGGUUGGCUGGAUAACCGACAGAUGAGCCUCAUCAGCCGUAGGACAGGCAUGCAUCAUAUGCAUUCGUAUGCUUUGCUUGAGUUUGAAUAUGUUUUGGUUUGCCUAAUUGCUAAACUGCUCGUAACUGCUACUUGAACUAUUUGCUGUAACUGCUGCCUACUUGUGUUUUCCUUGUCUGUCUUGCCUGUGUUUGUCUUGGUGUGCUACAUUUGAGAAUGAACUUUGGUACUGAAUUAAUGAUUGUGUUGUUUGAUUGCGUGGUUGGUUUUUGAUUGAGAUUUUCUUAUAAAAAAGGAAAGUAUUUCGAAUUUCUGAAAGAUUAAACAUUGUUUCUUUGAAAAGGUUGUGAACGAUUACCUAUUGGUUUUUAAAAGAUUCAUAAGGCAAUAAUAAUCACUGAGCUUGAAAACAGUUUUCUUGUUAAAUAUCUUCUUAUGACAACUUUGAAACUCCGUGGUGAGACCGUGUGGUUAGGUUCUCACCCCCUACAGCUUUACCUUUUCAGGAACCGGAUGAAGAAGUAUUAAGAAGAGUUAUACUGCAUUUGGUUUAUAUGCUGUUGUAUUAUUUAGAUUAUUUUCUUCCCUCGUCUUUGUUAUUACAAGUUUGUAAGAGGGAUAGGAAUUGUAUGUUUUAUAUUUUCUAAUAUGUUGAGUUAUUAUGUAAGGAGUCUUUUAUAUGAAUCUAUGUCUGUUUGUUUGUUUUUUUAAGAUAAAGUAUUUACUUCCGAUGUUCAAAGAAAUCAGCGAUACAGUGUCGAGUCACAGGCUCCUAUUUUAGUAUUUAAUAUAUAAAGUAGUCGUAAUACUUUUUGCUAUCAGAGUAGCGCAGCCGGAAGCGUGACUUCUAAUAGUGAGGGUGUUACACAUCACAUGGUUAAUACUUGGUUCCGUUGGAAGCACUUGGCUUUCAUUUCUCUUUGGUUUCGGACCAAGCUUGGAAACAUUCAUCACUUGUGAGACUUGGGCUUGUAGUGUUGAGAUUAAAGCUGGCCCAAUUAGUUAACAUUUGCUUUCCUGAUGAGUUGUGUAGCGGAUCAAGCAUAGGAAGCAAACAAAAAAGCAUUUGGUUAGGCUUGCAACAUUAAUAUUUAUUCUGGCCCAAUUAUAACUAGCUUCAAUUAUAAACACACAGCUGAACCAAUAAUGCAACAGUUGGGCUUUGUUAAUUUUCUUUUGUUUCGGCCCAACAAAAUCUGCACAACAAAAUUAUUAAUUAAGCACAUAUGAGUUAAGAUCGAAUUAAUAAUUUUGUAAUCUUAAUAUUUUAAUAAUGUUUAUUCAUCAUCAAAAUUUAACAAGAGUUUUUCAAACUCAUCA
This is a long non-coding RNA of Arachis duranensis, 3284 nucleotides long. RefSeq lists it as uncharacterized. The transcript has 3 exons. The record is from RefSeq and is a predicted model, not a curated record. NCBI's taxonomy places the organism in Eukaryota, Viridiplantae, Streptophyta, Magnoliopsida, Fabales, Fabaceae.